RNAcentral lists this long non-coding RNA (263 nucleotides) under Homo sapiens (human). Its description in RNAcentral is "HSALNT0359870". Lineage: Eukaryota; Metazoa; Chordata; Mammalia; Primates; Hominidae. The record is from RNAcentral.
AAAAGAGGAAAAGGUGAAGAUCAGGAGGCACAACAUUCCAAGGAUAUAAAAGCAAAUGUGAAAAUGCCAUAAAGUGGACAUCGGCUUGGCCUGUUGAAGGCUGAAAAAUCCAAGCAAAGUCUAUGUUGCCUUCACCAGUGUUCAGAUACACCUGGAAGCUGCUUUCUGAAAAGAUGGAGACCAUUUUUACCCAACAGCAUCAGCUCAGAUUCUUGUGAUUAUAACACAGCAUGAUUGCUGCUUCAUGCCUUCUGCCAUGUGAG